RNAcentral lists this long non-coding RNA (734 nucleotides) under Dermacentor andersoni. Its description in RNAcentral is "uncharacterized LOC126527462". The record is from RNAcentral. Lineage: Eukaryota; Metazoa; Arthropoda; Arachnida; Ixodida; Ixodidae.
GACACAUGCAGUCACUUCAUUGCAAGGACAGGUACAGAGACUUGCGGCCACCUGAAAAAGAAGCAUUUCUACUUCGUGUGUCACCGGUCUGGAAGUUAUGCUUCACAAGCUACAAGUAAACAAAAGCUGAAGCGGCCUUCAAGUGUCAAGUGUGGAAAAAGAUGUUUUGCGGCAAUGGCUGUGACUGAAGACAACACAGGUGUGUAUGUGGUUUUCCAAUUCAAGCACAGAGGCCACGACUUUGAACUGGGUCGUGUUUUUCUGUCCAAGUCGGAAAGAGCUGCUAUUGCUGACAAGCUGCGAGAAGGCGUGUCCAUGGAUGCAGUACUGGAUAAUGUGCGGUCCAACGUGGAUGCGACAUUCCACCGCAUUAACCUGUUAAGCAAGCAGGAUCUCCGCAAAAUAAUGAGGGAUGCCAGAGUCUCGAAGACCGAGCGGCUGCACGAUAAUGACUAUGUGAGCGUGCAACUCUGGGUUGAGAGGAUGCAUAGUGAAAAGGAAAACCCAUUGCUCUUCUUUAAACACCAAGGACAAACAAAAAGUGACAUUUUUUUAGAGAAAAAAAUGAGGACCUUUUGGAUGACAGAGAUUUUAUGCUAGUCAUCAUGACCACACCACAACAGGAGCUUUUCAAGAGGCUUGGAACUGAUCGUAUAUGUGUCGAUGGAACACAUGGAACAGCAGGUGAGCAGUACUAUAUAAAUGCAUUAAUAAUAAAAGCAAGAAAGAGGGAA